CCUACGGGAGGCAGCAGUGGGGAAUAUUGCACAAUGGGGGAAACCCUGAUCCAGCCACGCCGCGUGUGGGCAGACGGUCUUAGGAUUGUAAACCACUGUUCUUGGUGAAGUUAAUGACGGUAACCAUGGAGCAAUCUCCGGCUAACUACGUGCCAGCAGCCGCGGCAAUACGUAGGGAGCAAGCGUUGUCCGGAUGUACUGGGUGUAAAGGGUGCGUAGGCGGUCUUGCAAGUCAGACGUGAAAACCACAGGCUCAACCUGUGGAUUGGGUUUGAGACUGUGGGGCUUGAGUGAAGUAGAGGUAGGCGGAAGUCCCGGUGUAGCGGUGAAAUGCGUAGAGAUCGGGAGGAACACCAGUGGCGAAGGCGGCCUACUGGGCUUUAACUGACGCUGAGGCACGAAAGCAUGGGUAGCAAACAGGAUUAGAUACCCGAGUAGUC
Molecule: ribosomal RNA, 440 nt
Filed under: uncultured bacterium
Lineage: Bacteria
Description: partial 16S ribosomal RNA
Rfam family: Bacterial small subunit ribosomal RNA
Source: RNAcentral